GGAGAUCCCACCGGAAUUCUGGGAAAUCCACUGGAAUUGUGGGGGGAAUCCUGCUGGAAUUCCAGGGGAUACUUCAGGAAUUCUGGGGAAUCCUGGUGGAAUUUUGGGAAAUCCGCUGGAAUUUUGGGAAGUCCCCCUGGAAUUCCAGGGAAUCCCACUGAAAUUUUGGGGGGAUCCUGCUGGAAUUCUGGGGAAUCCUGGUGGAAUUUUGGGAAAUCUGCUGGGAUUUUGGAGGAUUCCACAGGAAUUUUGGGAUUCCCACACUGGAAUUUUGGGGGGAUCCCGCUGGAAUUUUGGGGAAUCCCACUGGAAUUUUGGGGGGAUCCCGCUGGAAUUCUGGGGGAUCCUGCUCAAAUUCUGGGAAAUCCCACUGGAAUUUUGGGGAAUCCCUCUGGAAUUCUGGGAAAUCCUGCUGGAAUUUUGGGGGAUCCCGCUGGAAUUCCAGGGGAUACUUCAGGAAUUCUGGGGGAUCCGGAUCAAAUUCUGGGAAAUCCCAGUGGAAUUUUGGAAAAUCACGCUGGAAUUCUGGGGGAUCCCACUGGAAUUGUGUGAAAUCCCACUGGAAUUUUGGGGGGAUCCUGCUGGAAUUUUGGGAAAUCCCACUGGAAUUCCAGGGGAUCCCACUGAAAUUUUGGAGGAUCCUGCUGGAAUUCCAGGGAAUCCCUCUGGAAUUCUGGGGGAUCCUGCUGGAAUUUUGGUAAAUCCGGCUGGAAUUCCAGCAGGAUCCCGGUUUGGCAUUCCCGGAUUAUUUCCAUGGUUUGGCGUUCCCGGAUUUCCCGCUCCGGGAUUUGUCCCUCGGGAUCGGGAGCAGCGACCCCGGAGCUGAGCGGGGGAUUUACACCAGAGGAGGGACCGGAUCCCGCACGGAUCGAGUCGGAAUUCCAUGUGGGAUCGAGUCGGAAUUCCAUGUGGGAAUGUGUUGGAAUUCCAUGUGGGAAUGUGUUGCAAUUCCAUGUGGGAACGCCGGGAUCCUGUGCGGGAAUGUUGGGAUCAGUGUGGGAAUUCUGGGAUCCAACAUGAGAAUUCUGGGAUCCCACAUGGGAAUGUCGGGAUCCGACGCGGGAAUGCCCAAAUUCCAUAUGGGAAUGUCAGGAUUCGAGUGGGAAGCCCCAAAUUCCGUGUGGGAAUUCUGGAAUCCUGUGUGGGAAUGUUGGGAUCCAACAUAAGAAUUCUGGGAUCCCGUGUGGGAAUGCCGAGAUCCCAUGUGGGAAGCCCCAAAUUCCGUGUGGGAAUGUCGGGAUCCCGUGUCAGAAUGUCAGGAUUUGUGUGGGAAUGCCCAAAUUCCAUGUGGGAAUGCCGAAAUUCCAUGUGGGAAUGCCCAAAUUCCAUGUGGGAAUGCCGAAAUUCCGUGCGGGAGCGGCCGUGUGCUCCCCACCUCCAGAUCUCCAUAAAACAUCGGAUCCGCCGCUUCCCGACUUUUCCGUCAUCCCGGAGGGGUUUGGGAAUCAACGGAGGGAUCCGACCCCGGGAACGGGGAUUGGGGCGGGAAUUGGGAGUUGGGAAUGGGAAUUGGGAUCCGGAGUUGGGAAUUGGGAUCUGGGAAUGGGAAUUGGGAAUUGGGAAUGGGAAUUGGGAUCUGGGAACGGGAAUUGGGAUCCAGAGUUGGGAAUUGGGAUCCGGGAACGGGAAUUGGGAUCUGGGAAAGGGAAUUGGGAUCCGGAGUUGGGAAUUGGGAUCCGGAGUUGGGAAUUGGGAUCCAGAGUUGGGAAUUGGGAUCCGGAGUCGGGAAUUGGGAUCUGGGAAUGGGAAUUGGGAAUGGGAAUGGGAAUUGGGAUCCGGAGUUGGGAAUUGGGAUCCAGAGUUGGGAAUUGGGAUCCAGAGUUGGGAAUUGGGAAUGGGAAUGGGAAUUGGGAUCUGGGAACAGGAAUUGGGAAUUGGGAACAGGAAUUGGGAUCUGGGAAUGGGAAUUGGGAUCUGGGAACGGGAAUUGGGAUCCGGAGUUGGGAAUUGGGAUCCGGAGUUGGGAAUUGGGAUCCGGCCCCGGGAAUUGGGAUCCGGAGUCGGGAAUUGGGGAAUGGGGAUGGGAAUUGGGAUCCAGAGUUGGGAAUUGGGAUCCGGGAAAGGGAAUUGGGAUCCGGAGUUGGGAAUUGGGAUCCGGGAAUGGAAAUUGGGAUCCGGAGUUGGGAAUUGGGAUCCAGAGUUGGGAAUUGGGGUCUGGGAAUGGGAAUUGGGAUCUGGGAAUGGGAAUUGGGAUCCGGAGUUGGGAAUUGGGAUCCGGGAAUGGAAAUUGGGAUCCGGAGUUGGGAAUUGGGAUCCAGAGUUGGGAAUUGGGGUCUGGGAAUGGGAAUUGGGAUCUGGGAAUGGGAAUUGGGAUCCGGAGUUGGGAAUUGGGAUCUGGGAAUGGGAAUUGGGAUCCGGAGUUGGGAAUUGGGAAUGGGAAUUGGGAGCUGGGAAUGGG
This is a long non-coding RNA of Taeniopygia guttata (zebra finch), 2398 nucleotides long. NCBI's taxonomy places the organism in Eukaryota, Metazoa, Chordata, Aves, Passeriformes, Estrildidae. The record is from Ensembl.